Molecule: long non-coding RNA, 1739 nt
Organism: Cherax quadricarinatus
Lineage: Eukaryota; Metazoa; Arthropoda; Malacostraca; Decapoda; Parastacidae
Source: RefSeq, a predicted model, not a curated record
GGCGGGAAGUAAAAUUAGUAGCAGUAAUACCCCGACCAGUCUCACAGCACCAGCAGUAGGGAUAAGACUUUCACCAGGAGUGGGUCAUAACAAUAGUAGUAGUAACGCCUUCUCCAGUCUGGUAGCGACACCAGGAGGAUUAAACCCACUCCGCGUGGAACCCUCAGCUCUAAAGCAGUUGUUAGCAGAUGAUCACAUUAGGAUGAGCAACACUGAGAAAGAGCUGGUGUAGUCAUCUCUGAGGAGGACAGGAACACCAUAAUGAUGAUGGAUCUCCUUAAUGACGCACCUACGUCUCCAUCUCUGCAGACAACCCGCUUACCGAAACGUCUUCAGAAACCGACCAGUAUCUUCAAACGUUCUGAACGAGGAAGGAGGCUUACAAACCCGCUACCUGCCAACCCAAAACGACGUGAUACCAAUGAGACGUAACGACCAGCGAGAACUGGGGGAGACUUCAUAAACUGAGGAGACUGAAAUAUGGACAGGAAACAGAGCUGUUAAGACACAUUCUGAAUAUUAUACAAUGAAUAAACCAUAUGCAAAAAGGAUCUUGACUACGAAAUACUUUACGAUAUUUGAAGAUUCAUUUAAGAUACACACCUUAGGCCCUGCUUAGGCCCACAUUGGGCCUGAGCAGAACCCACUUCUGAUCAAGUAUAACAACGCAGAAAACGUUCAAAAAUUCUUGAUCAGUGGCGGAAUUAAAAGGGACGAACUAUAGACUAGAUAUUUUAUUUAACUAGAAGAGAAGCAUUAGAUAUAUAAUAGUCUAACAAAAUACUGAGGAUAUUAGAGUAAAUAGGACUGAGCUCCAGGGAAAGGAAACCAGUGAACACAGAUGGCAGCUCAAGACGUAAUGUGGUAAAUGACACGUACUAUAUAAGAGGUACAAGGCAAACUGCCUUACAUAGUUUCAAGAGUAGGUAUAAGAGGGACCUGGAGGCUAGAAAUCUGAAAUAUGGUAAAGGGAUAGAGCUGUGGCUCCACCGCCUGCAAACAAGAGUACGUCUUAGAGAGUACAAACAUGCUCGCGAAAUGAAAGGAAACCCAGAAUAUGGAGGUCCAACGUAUUGGAAAUUUCUGAAUGCCGUCUCAUGAACUGCCAUGUGGAAGAAAUUUUAAUGGUUUUCCCAGAGGAUUACUAGUAAAGGUUCUCUCGCUCUACUUCUCCCCCCUCUUUCUCCCUCCAGCUGUAUAGUCCUUGUGGCUUAGCGCUUCUUUUUGAUUAUAAUAAUUUCUCCCUCCAGCUCUCUACUCUACCUCCUCUCCCUCCCUCCCUUUCCUUCCCUCUUUUCUUCACCCUCUCACACGCAAGCGGAUCCUCCAGAUCGGCAUUAAUUAUAUGUACGACAUAAGUUGUAAAUGGCAACUUGCAUCUCUAUGGUAAACUGAUAAUUUAAAUCAUCGUAAAUAUAUCAUUUGUGGAAUAAUAUAUGAUCAGGCCAUCAAGAGGCAUGGUCUGGGGGGCCAGGCCGUUACCGGGAGGUUACCUGGAGGUUAUUCCGGGGAUCAACGCCCCCGCGGCCCGGUCCACGACCAGGCCUCCCGAUGGAUCAGGGCCUGAUCAACUAGGCUGUUACUGCUGGCCGCACGCAGUCCAACGUACGAGCCACAGCCCGGCUGAUCCGGCACUGACUUUAGGUAUCUGUCCAGCUCUCUUGAAGGCAGCCAGGGGUUUAUUGGCAAUUCCCCUGAUGCUUGAUGGGAGGCUGUUGAACAGUUUUGGGCCCCGGACA